RNAcentral lists this ribosomal RNA (613 nucleotides) under uncultured bacterium. RNAcentral describes it as "bacterial SSU rRNA". It matches the Rfam family "Bacterial small subunit ribosomal RNA", at positions 28 to 638 of the family's 1533-position model. The record is from RNAcentral.
GAUGAACGCUAGCGGCAGGCGUAAUACAUGCAAGUCGGACGGGAUAGGAGAGCUUGCUUUCCUUGAGAGUGGCGCACGGGUGCGUAACACGUAUGUAACCUACCUUUAUCAGGGGGAUAGCCUCUCGAAAGAGAGAUUAAGCCCGCAUAAUAUGAAGACACAGCAUUGUGAUUUCAUCAAAUAUUUAUAGGAUAGAGAUGGGCAUGCGGAACAUUAGCUAGUUGGUAAGGUAAUGGCUUACCAAGGCUACGAUGUUUAGGGGAUCUGAGAGGAUGACCCCCCACACUGGUACUGAGACACGGACCAGACUCCUACGGGAGGCAGCAGUAAGGAAUAUUGGUCAAUGGGCGCAAGCCUGAACCAGCCAUGCCGCGUGCAAGAAGACGGCCCUACGGGUUGUAAACUGCUUUUGCAGGGGAAUAAAUCUCCCGACGUGUCGGGGGUUGAAUGUACUCUGAGAAUAAGGAUCGGCUAACUCCGUGCCAGCAGCCGCGGUAAUACGGAGGAUCCAAGCGUUAUCCGGAUUUAUUGGGUUUAAAGGGUGCGUAGGCGGCCUGUUAAGUCAGGGGUGAAAGACGGUAGCUCAACUAUCGCAGUGCCCUUGAUACUGAUG